RNAcentral lists this ribosomal RNA (465 nucleotides) under Vreelandella stevensii. RNAcentral describes it as "partial 16S ribosomal RNA". It matches the Rfam family "Bacterial small subunit ribosomal RNA", at positions 338 to 795 of the family's 1533-position model. Lineage: Bacteria; Pseudomonadati; Pseudomonadota; Gammaproteobacteria; Oceanospirillales; Halomonadaceae. The record is from RNAcentral.
CCUACGGGAGGCUGCAGUGGGGAAUAUUGGACAAUGGGCGAAAGCCUGAUCCAGCCAUGCCGCGUGUGUGAAGAAGGCCUUCGGGUUGUAAAGCACUUUCAGUGGGGAAGAAAGCCUUGGGGCUAAUACCCUCGAGGAAGGACAUCACCCACAGAAGAAGCACCGGCUAACUCCGUGCCAGCAGCCGCGGUAAUACGGAGGGUGCGAGCGUUAAUCGGAAUUACUGGGCGUAAAGCGCGCGUAGGCGGUCUGAUAAGCCGGUUGUGAAAGCCCCGGGCUCAACCUGGGAACGGCAUCCGGAACUGUCAGGCUAGAGUGCAGGAGAGGAAGGUAGAAUUCCCGGUGUAGCGGUGAAAUGCGUAGAGAUCGGGAGGAAUACCAGUGGCGAAGGCGGCCUUCUGGACUGACACUGACGCUGGGGUGCGAAAGCGUGGGUAGCAAACAGGAUUAGAUACCCCUGUAGUC